GUCUACGGCCAUACUAACCCGAAAAAGCCCGAUACCGUCUGAUCUCAGAAGCUAAGCAGGGUUGGGCCUGGUUAGUACUUGGAUGGGAGACCACCUAGGAAGACCAGGUGCUGUAGGCA
This 119-nucleotide ribosomal RNA is filed under the name Pteropus alecto (black flying fox). The record is from RNAcentral. Lineage: Eukaryota; Metazoa; Chordata; Mammalia; Chiroptera; Pteropodidae.